UACGGAGGGGGCUAGCGUUGUUCGGAAUUACUGGGCGUAAAGCGCACGUAGGCGGCUUUGCAAGUUAGAGGUGAAAGCCCGGGGCUCAACUCCGGAAUUGCCUUUAAAACUGCAUCGCUAGAAUUGUGGAGAGGUAAGUGGAAUUCCGAGUGUAGAGGUGAAAUUCGUAGAUAUUCGGAGGAACACCAGAGGCGAAGGCGGCCGGCUGGGCUGUACCUGACGCUGAGGCGCGAAAGCGUGGGGAGCGAACCGG
RNAcentral lists this ribosomal RNA (253 nucleotides) under uncultured bacterium. RNAcentral's name for it is "partial 16S ribosomal RNA". It matches the Rfam family "Bacterial small subunit ribosomal RNA", at positions 524 to 776 of the family's 1533-position model. The record is from RNAcentral.